UACAGAGGGUGCGAGCGUUGUUCGGAAUUACUGGGCGUAAAGCGCGCGCAGGCGGCUCUUUAAGUCUACCCGUGAAAUGCCGGAGCUCAACUCCGUGCACGCCGGGGGAUACUGGAGAGCUGGAGACAUGUAGAGGCAAGCGGAAUUCCGGGUGUAGCGGUGGAAUGCGUAGAGAUCCGGAAGAACACCGGAGGCGAAGGCGGCUUGCUGGGCAUGGUCUGACGCUGAGGCGCGAAAGCGUGGGGAGCGAACAGG
RNAcentral lists this ribosomal RNA (255 nucleotides) under uncultured bacterium. RNAcentral describes it as "partial 16S ribosomal RNA". It matches the Rfam family "Bacterial small subunit ribosomal RNA", at positions 524 to 776 of the family's 1533-position model. The record is from RNAcentral.